GACGAACGCUGGCGGCGUGCUUAACACAUGCAAGUCGAACGGAAAGGCCCUGCUUUUGUGGGGUGCUCGAGUGGCGAACGGGUGAGUAACACGUGAGUAACCUGCCCUUGACUUUGGGAUAACCUCAGGAAACUGGGGCUAAUACCGGAUAGGAGCUCCUGCUGCAUGGUGGGGGUUGGAAAGUUUCGGCGGUUGGGGAUGGACUCGCGGCUUAUCAGCUUGUUGGUGGGGUAGUGGCUUACCAAGGCUUUGACGGGUAGCCGGCCUGUGAGGGUGACCGGCCACAUGGGGACUGAGAUACGGCCCAGACUCCUACGGGAGGCAGCAGUGGGGAAUAUUGCACAAUGGGCGGAAGCCUGAUGCAGCAACGCCGCGUGCGGGAUGACGGCCUUCGGGUUGUAAACCGCUUUCGCCUGUGACGAAGCGUGAGUGACGGUAAUGGGUAAAGAAGCACCGGCUAACUACGUG
RNAcentral lists this ribosomal RNA (468 nucleotides) under uncultured bacterium. RNAcentral's name for it is "partial 16S ribosomal RNA". It matches the Rfam family "Bacterial small subunit ribosomal RNA", at positions 28 to 507 of the family's 1533-position model. The record is from RNAcentral.